GGCGUGCUUACCAUGCAAGUCGAACGCUGAAGCUCCAGCUUGCUGGGGUGGAUGAGUGGCGAACGGGUGAGUAAUACGUGAGUAACCUGCCCUUGACUCUGGGAUAAGCCCGGGAAACUGGGUCUAAUACUGGAUGCUACAUGUCACCGCAUGGUGGUGUGUGGAAAGGGUUUUACUGGUCUUGGAUGGGCUCACGGCCUAUCAGCUUGUUGGUGAGGUAAUGGCUCACCAAGGCGACGACGGGUAGCCGGCCUGAGAGGGUGACCGGCCACACUGGGACUGAGACACGGCCCAGACUCCUACGGGAGGCAGCAGUGGGGAAUAUUGCACAAUGGGCGGAAGCCUGAUGCAGCGACGCCGCGUGAGGGAUGACGGCCUUCGGGUUGUAAACCUCUUUCAGCAGGGAAGAAGCCACAAGUGACGGUACCUGCAGAAGAAGCGCCGGCUAACUACGUGCCAGCAGCCGCGGUAAU
This 473-nucleotide ribosomal RNA is filed under the name uncultured bacterium. RNAcentral's name for it is "bacterial SSU rRNA". It matches the Rfam family "Bacterial small subunit ribosomal RNA", at positions 41 to 524 of the family's 1533-position model. The record is from RNAcentral.